RNAcentral lists this ribosomal RNA (574 nucleotides) under [Candida] anglica. Its description in RNAcentral is "LSU rRNA". It matches the Rfam family "Eukaryotic large subunit ribosomal RNA", at positions 38 to 628 of the family's 3401-position model. Lineage: Eukaryota; Fungi; Ascomycota; Pichiomycetes; Serinales; Debaryomycetaceae. The record is from RNAcentral.
GCAUAUCAAUAAGCGGAGGAAAAGAAACCAACAGGGAUUGCCUUAGUAACGGCGAGUGAAGCGGCAAAAGCUCAAAUUUGAAAUCUGGCACUUUCAGUGUCCGAGUUGUAAUUUGAAGAAGGUAACUUUGGAAUUGGCCCUUGUCUAUGUUCCUUGGAACAGGACGUCACAGAGGGUGAGAAUCCCGUGCGAUGAGGUGACCAAUUCUAUGUAAAGUGCUUUCGAAGAGUCGAGUUGUUUGGGAAUGCAGCUCUAAGUGGGUGGUAAAUUCCAUCUAAAGCUAAAUAUUGGCGAGAGACCGAUAGCGAACAAGUACAGUGAUGGAAAGAUGAAAAGAACUUUGAAAAGAGAGUGAAAAAGUACGUGAAAUUGUUGAAAGGGAAGGGCUUGAGAUCAGACUUGGUAUUUUGCGUUCCCUUCCUUUUUGGUUGGGUUCCUCGCAGUUUACUGGGCCAGCAUCGGUUUGGAUGGUAGGAUAAUGACAUUGGAAUGUGGCUCUACUUCGGUGGAGUGUUAUAGACUUUGUUGAUACUACCUAUCUAGACCGAGGACUGCGUCUUUGACUAGGAUGCUG